RNAcentral lists this long non-coding RNA (228 nucleotides) under Bos taurus (domestic cattle). Its description in RNAcentral is "long non-coding RNA NONBTAT018947". The record is from RNAcentral. Lineage: Eukaryota; Metazoa; Chordata; Mammalia; Artiodactyla; Bovidae.
CCAUGCCUACAAUCCCUUCUGAGGGAAGCUGUUUCCAAGUUGCCAUGCACUGUGUUACAUGACCCUGGUCACAAGUGGUUAGACCAGUAACUUAAAUUAAUAGUUCAACAUUCCUGUACUUUGGAAAAUGUGAUUGUGUCAGAGAGACAGUUUUCUAUACUUCUUUAUUUCAUUCUGUAUCCAGAAGUAACCAGAGGUGUCUCUGUUUCUUUGCAAUAAACACACAAU